Sus scrofa (pig) is the source of this 66-nucleotide regulatory RNA element. It matches the Rfam family "Edr gene ribosomal frameshift signal". NCBI's taxonomy places the organism in Eukaryota, Metazoa, Chordata, Mammalia, Artiodactyla, Suidae. The record is from Rfam.
GGGAAACUCCCCGGCCCCGCUGUAGAGGGACCUUCAGCGACCGGGCCGGAAUUAAUAAGGUCCCCA